This 253-nucleotide ribosomal RNA is filed under the name Coprococcus eutactus. RNAcentral describes it as "partial 16S ribosomal RNA". It matches the Rfam family "Bacterial small subunit ribosomal RNA", at positions 524 to 776 of the family's 1533-position model. The record is from RNAcentral. Lineage: Bacteria; Bacillati; Bacillota; Clostridia; Lachnospirales; Lachnospiraceae.
UACGUAUGGUGCAAGCGUUAUCCGGAUUUACUGGGUGUAAAGGGUGCGUAGGUGGCAAGGCAAGUCUGAAGUGAAAAUCCGGGGCUCAACCUCGGAACUGCUUUGGAAACUGUUUAGCUAGAGUACAGGAGAGGUAAGUGGAAUUCCUAGUGUAGCGGUGAAAUGCGUAGAUAUUAGGAGGAACACCAGUGGCGAAGGCGACUUACUGGACUGGUACUGACACUGAGGCACGAAAGCGUGGGGAGCAAACAGG